GCUUUCCCCAUCGAGCCGGCCGACCGGAGCGCGGCCCUGCGCUGGGGGAGGGGGCCACGGGCCGGGCGGGGGAGGGGCUGGGCGCCGCCACGUGCGCG
This 98-nucleotide microRNA precursor is filed under the name Procavia capensis (Cape rock hyrax). RNAcentral's name for it is "miRNA (ENSPCAG00000018964.1)". Lineage: Eukaryota; Metazoa; Chordata; Mammalia; Hyracoidea; Procaviidae. The record is from RNAcentral.